UUUUUUAUUUUUUUUAUGAUUUAUUAUAAAUUUUUUAUUAAAUAAAAAGGUUAAAAUAUAUAUUUUUUUAAAUAAAAAAAUAUAUAUUAAAAUUUUUCAUUUUUUAAUAUUUAAUAAAUAUAAUAUACUAUAAAAAUAAAUAAUCUAAUAUUUAACACUAUUAAACAUUAAAAUUCUAUAUAAAAAAAAAAACAGCGCCUCAAUCAACCUAAACUUCCUUCUAUGCUUUUUGAAUUUUGCCAUGCAAAUUAAUUCCAGUUACAUACAAAUAUAAGAAAGCUGUUUUAUCAUCUUAAAGAAAGUCAAGAGACUCAAGACUCAAGCAUCAUACUAAUAUUAUUAUAUAUAAAACCUAUAAAAUAAAAUAAAAAUAAAAAGGGUACGUGGCAGCUGAGAAGCACUAGAAGUUAGAAAAGGAUGUAACUCCAAUCGUCGGUAUUACUGCUCUUUUCUCUGCUACAUAGGUGUGAAGCAGAAGGACCCACCACCAUCCUCCCCAUCGUACUGUCUCCACCCUUCUAUUUAUCUUCCUCGUUUUUUCAUCAACCAAAUCUCGCCGUCGCCACCACCCACCACCAGGCCACCACCGCCCUCCGUAGGGACCAAAGAAGGACGAUGAGAUAUGGUGGGACUCAGUAUUGUAUUGGAAGCCCAGAAGGGUAUUAACAAGAAAACCCCACAAGUCAUUAACAAAAUCACCAUGAUGACCAAACCCACUCCUUUUCCUUCGCCUCCUGCACGUUGGAAUUCUCACUCACCUCUCCUCCCGGCGGCCACCACUUUUCUCGACGAGUGCUUUCUCUGCAAGCAAAAACUCUUGCCUGGAAAAGACAUCUACAUGUACAAGUAAGCAUCCAUAUUUACAAUAUUUAAUACAAAUUAUCUUCAGUUUCUUUUUCUUGUUAUUCUACCAGAUCUCUUCUUCCUUGCUUCAUAUCUACCCAAAACCCAGAUUUCUGUCAGCUGAAGCUUUAGCUUGAUAGGGGUGCUGAUGUUUUGGUUCAUUGAUUCAUGCAGAGGAGACAGAGCUUUUUGUAGCGUGGAGUGCAGGUGCAGGCAGA
RNAcentral lists this long non-coding RNA (1061 nucleotides) under Vitis vinifera (wine grape). RNAcentral's name for it is "long non-coding RNA (VVIN_LNC001277)". Lineage: Eukaryota; Viridiplantae; Streptophyta; Magnoliopsida; Vitales; Vitaceae. The record is from RNAcentral.